Molecule: ribosomal RNA, 867 nt
Filed under: Salmonella enterica subsp. enterica serovar Corvallis
Lineage: Bacteria; Pseudomonadati; Pseudomonadota; Gammaproteobacteria; Enterobacterales; Enterobacteriaceae
Description: partial 23S ribosomal RNA
Rfam family: Bacterial large subunit ribosomal RNA
Source: RNAcentral
GUGACUGCGUACCUUUUGUAUAAUGGGUCAGCGACUUAUAUUCUGUAGCAAGGUUAACCGUAUAGGGGAGCCGGAGGGAAACCGAGUCUUAAUUGGGCGUUAAGUUGCAGGGUAUAGACCCGAAACCCGGUGAUCUAGCCAUGGGCAGGUUGAAGGUUGGGUAACACUAACUGGAGGACCGAACCGACUAAUGUUGAAAAAUUAGCGGAUGACCUGUGGCUGGGGGUGAAAGGCCAAUCAAACCGGGAGAUAGCUGGUUCUCCCCGAAAGCUAUUUAGGUAGCGCCUCGUGAAUUCAUCUCCGGGGGUAGAGCACUGUUUCGGCUAGGGGGCCAUCCCGGCUUACCAACCCGAUGCAAACUGCGAAUACCGGAGAAUGUUAUCACGGGAGACACACGGCGGGUGCUAACGUCCGUCGUGAAGAGGGAAACAACCCAGACCGCCAGCUAAGGUCCCAAAGUCAUGGUUAAGUGGGAAACGAUGUGGGAAGGCCCAGACAGCCAGGAUGUUGGCUUAGAAGCAGCCAUCAUUUAAAGAAAGCGUAAUAGCUCACUGGUCGAGUCGGCCUGCGCGGAAGAUGUAACGGGGCUAAACCAUGCACCGAAGCUGCGGCAGCGAACGUAUCACUUAAAGCGAUUCAGCGGGUUACGAUUGACGGAGCGAAGCGACGUCAAAGCGUAUACAAAGUCGAGUCGGUUUAAGGAUACGUUCGUUGGGUAGGGGAGCGUUCUGUAAGCCUGUGAAGGUGGCCUGUGAGGGUUGCUGGAGGUAUCAGAAGUGCGAAUGCUGACAUAAGUAACGAUAAAGCGGGUGAAAAGCCCGCUCGCCGGAAGACCAAGGGUUCCUGUCCAACGUUAAUCGGGGCAGG